Molecule: long non-coding RNA, 603 nt
Filed under: Salvia miltiorrhiza (redroot sage)
Lineage: Eukaryota; Viridiplantae; Streptophyta; Magnoliopsida; Lamiales; Lamiaceae
Description: long non-coding RNA (SMIL_LNC010110)
Source: RNAcentral
CAAAGUUGUGUAACAAAAGAAAAUAACCUAAAACUAUAUAUAUCUCUAUCUAUGCAUGCGGCCCUAGGCCGCCUAAUCAAAACAUCAUGGGCUUCGGCCCCUUUCAACUAAUUAAAUCCAAACUUAAAAUAAAACAAGAGUUUUGGGCUUCAUAAAAAUAUAACAAGUAAUUAAAAGCCCAAUCUCUAAUUAUCUUCCAUCUUCACUUCAAAUUUCCAUCGAAAGCUCGUCUUUCUCCAAUUCUUUCCAUCAACAGCUCCAUCUCCAAUCCUGCUCAUUCCUGCGCCAAAACAUUGCAAACUAUGCAAAAUCACAUGAAAUCACGACGAAACACACACUAAACUAAGUAGCUAAAAUACACACAUCAAAUCCCCUCACACUUAGAUCAUACUUGUCCUCAAGUAUGAAAUAAGAGAAGAAUUAAUGGUGAAAUUCAGCCACUAGAAGCAACUCCCUUCCUUGACACGAAGACUCUAGAAAUGAACGAAAGGAAACAGACACCACAAACAUGCACACAAAGAUAGAAAAUAAAAAAGAAAACGAGACAAGACACGGACAAACCAAACGACUAACUCAACAGACAACUGCAGCCAAGAAUCAUCA